Molecule: small RNA, 551 nt
Filed under: Pan troglodytes (chimpanzee)
Lineage: Eukaryota; Metazoa; Chordata; Mammalia; Primates; Hominidae
Description: processed transcript
Source: RNAcentral
AGUGUUCGCGGGAGCGCCGCACCUACACCAGCCAACCCAGAUCCCGAGGUCCGACAGCGUCCGGCCCAGAUCCCCACGCCUGCCAGGAGCAAGCCGAGAGCCAGCCGGCCGGCGCACUCCGACUCCGAGCAGUCUCUGUCCUUCGGCCCGAGCCCCGCGCCCUUUCCGGGACCCCUGCCCCGCGGGCAGCGCUGCCACCCUGCCGGCCAUGGAGACCCCGUCCCAGCGGCGCGCCACCCGCAGCGGGGCGCAGGCCAGCUCCACUCCGCUGUCGCCCACCCGCAUCACCCGGCUGCAGGAGAAGGAGGACCUGCAGGAGCUCAAUGAUCGCUUGGCGGUCUACAUCGACCGUGUGCGCUCUGCUGAACUCCAAGGAGGCCGCACUGAGCACUGCUCUCAGUGAGAAGCGCACGCUGGAGGGCGAGCUGCAUGAUCUGCGGGGCCAGGUGGCCAAGCUUGAGGCAGCCCUAGGUGAGGCCAAGAAGCAACUUCAGGAUGAGAUGCUGCGGCGGGUGGAUGCUGAGAACAGGCUGCAGACCAUGAAGGAGGAA